GACGAACGCUGGCGGCGUGCUUAACACAUGCAAGUCGAACGGAAAGGCCCUGCUUUUGUGGGGUGCUCGAGUGGCGAACGGGUGAGUAACACGUGAGUAACCUGCCCUUGACUUUGGGAUAACUUCAGGAAACUGGGGCUAAUACCGGAUAGGAGCUCCUGCUGCAUGGUGGGGGUUGGAAAGUUUCGGCGGUUGGGGCUGGACUCGCGGCUUAUCAGCUUGUUGGUGGGGUAGUGGCUUACCAAGGCUUUGACGGGUAGCCGGCCUGAGAGGGUGACCGGCCACAUUGGGACUGAGAGACGGCCCAGAAUCCUACGGGAGGCAGCAGUGGGGAAUAUUGCACAAUGGGCGGAAGCCUGAUGCAGCAACGCCGCGUGCGGGAUGACGGCCUUCGGGUUGUAAACCGCUUUCGCCUGUGACGAAGCGUGAGUGACGGUAAUGGGUAAAGAAGCACCGGCUAACUACGUG
RNAcentral lists this ribosomal RNA (468 nucleotides) under uncultured bacterium. RNAcentral's name for it is "partial 16S ribosomal RNA". It matches the Rfam family "Bacterial small subunit ribosomal RNA", at positions 28 to 507 of the family's 1533-position model. The record is from RNAcentral.